Molecule: ribosomal RNA, 300 nt
Filed under: uncultured Collinsella sp.
Lineage: Bacteria; Bacillati; Actinomycetota; Coriobacteriia; Coriobacteriales; Coriobacteriaceae
Description: bacterial SSU rRNA
Rfam family: Bacterial small subunit ribosomal RNA
Source: RNAcentral
GUUAACUUCGGGGCAGCAGCUGGGUUAAUGAGAAGGGAGCGGGGUUUGUUGUGGAUCACUGGGAUUAAAGCGUGCGUAGGUGGAUUGGUAAGUAAGGAGUGAAGUCCCAGGGCUUAACCCUGGAACUGCUCUUUAGACUGCCUGUCUGGAAUUCGGAAGAGGUUGGUGGAACUCCCAGUGUAGAGGUGAAAUUCGCAGAUAUUGGGAAGAACACCGGUGGCGAAGGCGACCAACUGGUCCGACAUUGACACUGAGGCACGAAAGCGUGGGUAGCAAACAGGAUUAGAUACCCUUUUAGUC